Molecule: ribosomal RNA, 492 nt
Filed under: uncultured bacterium
Lineage: Bacteria
Description: partial 16S ribosomal RNA
Rfam family: Bacterial small subunit ribosomal RNA
Source: RNAcentral
AGUGAACGCUGGCGGUAGGCCUAACACAUGCAAGUCGAACGGCAGCACAGUAAGAGCUUGCUCUUACGGGUGGCGAGUGGCGGACGGGUGAGGAAUACAUCGGAAUCUACUUUUUCGUGGGGGAUAACGUAGGGAAACUUACGCUAAUACCGCAUACGACCUACGGGUGAAAGCAGGGGAUCUUCGGACCUUGCGCGAUUGAAUGAGCCGAUGUCGGAUUAGCUAGUUGGCGGGGUAAAGGCCCACCAAGGCGACGAUCCGUAGCUGGUCUGAGAGGAUGAUCAGCCACACUGGAACUGAGACACGGUCCAGACUCCUACGGGAGGCAGCAGUGGGGAAUAUUGGACAAUGGUCGCAAGCCUGAUCCAGCCAUACCGCGUGUGUGAAGAAGGCCUUCGGUUUGUAAAGCCCUUUUGUUGGGAAAGAAAAGCAGCAGGUUAAUACCCCGCUGUUCUGACGGUACCCAAAGAAUAAGCACCGGCUAACUUCGUG